GGCUCUGGGUCACCUCCCACCCGUGUUUAUUGUACCUUGUUGCUUCGGUGCGCCCGCCUCACGGCCGCCGGGGGGCUUCUGCCCCCGGGUCCGCGCGCACCGGAGACACCAUUGAACUCUGUCUGAAGAUUGCAGUCUGAGCAUAAACUAAAUAAGUUAAAACUUUCAACAACGGAUCUCUUGGUUCCGGCAUCGAUGAAGAACGCAGCGAAAUGCGAUAACUAAUGUGAAUUGCAGAAUUCAGUGAAUCAUCGAGUCUUUGAACGCACAUUGCGCCCCCUGGUAUUCCGGGGGGCAUGCCUGUCCGAGCGUCAUUGCUGCCCUCAAGCACGGCUUGUGUGUUGGGCUCCGUCCCCCCGGGGACGGGCCCGAAAGGCAGCGGCGGCACCGAGUCCGGUCCUCGAGCGUAUGGGGCUUUGUCACCCGCUCUGUAGGCCCGGCCGGCGCCAGCCGACAACCCAUCAUCCUUUUCAGGUUGACCUCGGAUCAGGUAGGGAUACCCGCUGAACUUAAGCAUAUCAAUAAGCCGGAGGA
RNAcentral lists this ribosomal RNA (534 nucleotides) under Penicillium spinulosum. Its description in RNAcentral is "eukaryotic LSU rRNA". The stretch from base 161 to 314 matches the Rfam family "5.8S ribosomal RNA". The record is from RNAcentral. Lineage: Eukaryota; Fungi; Ascomycota; Eurotiomycetes; Eurotiales; Aspergillaceae.